CGGCCGCCCGCGGAGUCCGAGCCCACGUGCAGCGGCUGCUCCUUCAUUGAUCGUCCUCGUGGUGCAGGUGGCGGCGGGCGGGGCGGGGCCGGGGCGGGCGGGGGCGGGGCCUGGGCGGGCCUGGGCGGGGCCGGGGCGGGGCGGGCCGGGUCAAAGGGCCCCGGGAGGAGGGGAGACGCGGAGGGGCGUUCUCUCCGGGCCUGAACUUGGUUGACCCCCCGCAGUUUCGUCCCGGGGUACUGGGCCUCUAUCCUGGCGGGGGGGGGGGGAGUAGGCGGGCGGGCCUCCGGGAGGACCUCCGCGCCCUCGGGCCCGGGGAGGAGGCCCGGACGCCGCUGAGGGCCAGAAGCCAAGCAAAGAAGGGGCUUAGGGCCGGAGGAGUGCCUGGGGUGGAGAGAGGUCUCUUUCCUCCUGUCUGAGAAAUCCCUCCUAGUUCACCUGGCCGACUCUUACUCAUCCCUCAAAACCCUUUCCCAAUGAUGUUUACCCAGGCUCUGGGAAGUUGUCUCAACACUGAGGCUGAGUUUUAGCGUCCUUCCCCGGGGUCCCCAGCGGUGACAGCUCCUGGCAGGGAGUGUAAGUGUUUGGCACCGUCAACGUCCACCUCCUGGAAUGACGCUCCUAUGAGUUGGGGCUGGUGGAGGCAGCAGAGUUUGACAAAUGAACAAAGGGUAUAGGGCAUGCAGUGGGGGGCCGGAAAUCAGGGAGGGGGCUUGGGAUCCAGGCCUGGGGCCUGCAGGGGAGGCCAAGGGUGGGGUGGGGUCGGUUCUGCCCCUGGCUGCCCGGCCUUCUGCCCUCAGGGACCUGCCAUCUCCCCUUGGGAGUUCCAGGCUAAAGUCCUUUGGCUACUGCCCGAAGAUGACGUCUUGGGACCGUCUCAGCCGCCAGCAGCACCCUCCAAGGAUGAGGAGGCCCCCAGGAACUUUGCUCCAGAAGGUACGGCAGGAUCUCCAGGAACAUCACCGGCAGGUGAGUAACCAGGAGCUGGAGGUAUGGCUGGUCCUCCCUGAAAGGUGGGGGGGAGGGGGGGCGAGGAGCGCGGUGACAGUUGUCAGGACUGCAGGGAAUGUCUGGGGUUUUCCACAAAAGAGGUGGGAGCCCUGGCGGGCUGUGGGCAGAGAGGGCGCGGGGAUCGGUGGAUGGAUCUCUCCCUGCCAUGCGCACGUGCACAUGCACGCGCACACACCCCUUCCCCUUCCCCUUCCCCUUCCCCUUCCCCUUCCCCUUCCCCUUCCCCUUCCCCUUCCCCUUCCCCUUCCCCGUGCAUUUCUGUCCAUCCGUCCAUCCUCAUCCUCGAGGCUCUUCCCUCCUGGCCUGCUUCCCCGGUCCCUGCGUGGCUCCCAUGAGGCCAGGGGCCUUCCCAGCACGUUGCAGGUCAGCUGCUUCCGCUCUGAAGGGCCUGUUCCGUGCCAGGCACACCCGGAUUACGGUCUUCCGUGUGUCUGCGAGUUCUCGAGGGCCUGGAUCACACGUGAGCGGGGGCGGGGGUGGGCCCAGCUCCCCGCACAGGGCGCCGGCCCAAGCUGA
RNAcentral lists this long non-coding RNA (1527 nucleotides) under Canis lupus familiaris (dog). RNAcentral describes it as "lncRNA (ENSCAFG00845011140.1)". Lineage: Eukaryota; Metazoa; Chordata; Mammalia; Carnivora; Canidae. The record is from RNAcentral.